CAGUUGCCUUUUUACUAGAAAGUUUAAUAAAAAUAUUAAAAUCGUUUAAUCUAUUUCCAAACAUUUCAUUAUAGAUUCUACAGAUAAAAAAAAAUUAUAGGUUUAAGUUUUUUGGAGCAGACUUUAUUAUAAGACUGGCAGUUCUGCACCAUCUGUUGUUAAAUAUAGACAUAAUCCUUUAAAUGCUUAUUAGAUUACUGGAAGUGUGGAAGAUUCUCGAAGUUUUAGAUAUUGAUAAAGUAAACUUGAUUUUAAGGAAUGUCGUUAAGUCAUUUUGACGAGAAAAGAAAUGUUGUGACGGUUUCUACGCCGUGGGGGAAGUGGUGGCAGACUGUAGGAGAAGUAUUCUUAGAAGUGGAUGUCGAAGAAGGAACUUUACCAAAGCAGAUACAAAUACAAAUCAAACCAAAUUCCAUUAGCUGCAAAGUGAAGGAUAAACAAAUUUUUGAAGGUAAACUUCGUCGUACUGUAAGAGCAGAAGAGAGUACAUGGGUACUUGAAGAAAGAAAGCGUAUCUCAAUAUUAUUAGUAAAAUCAGAUCCUCCAAACACUGAACAUAUAUGGCAAUCUUUGCUUGUUGGUCAAUAUGCUCCUAAUUCAUCGGAAUUUGUUGAAAUGCAAAAACAGUUGGACCUUGAAAGGUUUCAAAUAGAAAGUUCCACGAUAAAAAAUAAGUUGGAAACUGCUGAAAUAAGGCAAACAAAACAAGAUCAUCUGCAUUUAAAGAAGUGAUUAAUUUUUACUUUUUAUGACAAAUGGAUUGCAAUUAAAUUGAAAAGGAAAAACUCAAAAUAAUAACAAACUCAGUUCUUAAACAGUAAUUUUUAUAAUACAGAUGUACCUCGUACUUCAAAUGAUCCAGAGUUUGAAUGCUAAAUUCAAUCUAGAGUUCAAAUGAUGCUUUACAUUUGAACUAUGUGCACAGUGAAAAAAUAAGCUUUCUAAAUAAAUGUCAUCUGUGGUGUGCCUAAGUACUCUCGCUGUGAAAGCAUCUCUUGUUUUAUGUUUGUGUUUUCGGUGCUUCUUUUCACUUUAUUUUUGGUGUGUUUUGUUAUAUAUAUAGCCAUGGCAUCCAAGAAGUGUGUGGAAGCAAUGAAGCCUAAGAGGAUGGUUGUAGCAUUGAUGAUUAAAAUUAAAAAGGAACUUGUCAUGAAGCAAAGUGGUACUUCUGUGGUGGAUCUGGUGGCCAUGUUUAACCCUGGGGUAGUGCAGUGGGGUGUUUCACCCCCAACGUUUUAGAAGUUGCACUAUUCAUAGAUUUCGCAAGAAAUAUUUGUGUCCUCUUCAGUAGCUUCAUCAUUUUAUGUAUAGAGCAUGCUCAGAAAUUACUACGAUGCUGCAGAAAUUCCAAUAAAAGAAAAACAACAGUUCUCAGUGGGGUGUCCAAACACCCCACAGUAUUAAUUACGUUUUUUUUUAAAUUUUACAAAUAUUUAUUUAGUUUUUUUUAUUUUUCAAAUAACUAUAAUGUGACCACAUUUAUUAUUUAUAAUAUAGAUAUAAUAAUCAAUGUGAAUAAAAAUAAUUUAAGUUUAUUUUAAUUCAAAAUGGCUGACUUUCAUAAACACAUUGAGAAAAUACCAAACAUAGCAAGUUGCUUGUCAUUUGCACUGAGUGCCAAAGUACAAUGUCAGCUAUUGAAUCAGAGUGACAAAAAUGCUUAAAAAACAAUUUAGAUUUUUACUAUUGGUUUAAUAAUAAGAUCUAAUGUAAUGAGUUUUGAUAAAUGUUGUUUUUUAUUUUCGUGGAUUUAUGUACUAAUAUAAUAUGUAAUCAUACCUGAAUAUAAUCAUAUGUAUAAUGACACAUGCCUUUACCAAAUAAAUGAGUAAAUCUUUAUGAAUUUUUACUUACAUGGUUUAUGGACCCAAAAAAAUGUUGGGGUGGACAAACGCCCCACUGCACUAAUGCCGAAAAAAAACUCAGUGCACUAACGCAGGGUUAAGAUACUGAAGUCAAAGACAUGCAAUCAAUAAAUUUUGUUAUAUAGUACUUUAUUGUUCUCAUGUUAUUAUUUAAGGCAUUUAAUUAUUUUUACCUUAAAUUAUGUGUAUUUACUGUUUAAGUUUAUUAAAUUGGGUAUUUUUUAGGGUCUGGAAAUGGAUUUUCACUUUCCAUUAUAGUAUUUCUAAUGGGAAAAUUGAUUCAGACUUUGAACAAUUCAGAUGUUCAAAGUCCAAAUCAAUCUGAGUUCAGUUCAACUGGCUUCCUGAAACAAAUUAAAUUUGAAAAUCCAGGGUUUGACUUCAGUUCAGCUAAUUUAUCAAAAUGUUAUGAUAAAUCUCCAGAACAACCCACUGAUGAAGAAUCAAAAACUUAGAUUAAGAAAACUAAAUGAAUAACAACAGUAAG
RNAcentral lists this unclassified non-coding RNA (2352 nucleotides) under Centruroides sculpturatus (bark scorpion). RNAcentral describes it as "nudC domain-containing protein 2-like, transcript variant X2". The record is from RNAcentral. Lineage: Eukaryota; Metazoa; Arthropoda; Arachnida; Scorpiones; Buthidae.